AGAGUUUGAUCAUGGCUCAGGACGAACGCUGGCGGCGCGCUUAACACAUGCAAGUCGAGCGAGAACCAGUCCUUCGGGACUGGGGACAGCGGCGAACGGGUGAGUAACACGUGGGUAAUCUGCCCUCGGCACCGGAAUAGCCCGGGGAAACCCGGAUUAAUGCCGGAUGGCCUCUCGUGCUCUCGAGCGCGAGAGAAAAGGUAGCUUCGGCCUCCGGCCGAGGAUGAGCCCGCGGCCGAUUAGCUUGUUGGUGGGGUAACGGCUCACCAAGGCGACGAUCGGUAGCUGGUCUGAGAGGACGAUCAGCCACACUGGGACUGAGACACGGCCCAGACUCCUACGGGAGGCAGCAGUGGGGAAUCUUGCGCAAUGGGCGAAAGCCUGACGCAGCGACGCCGUGUGCGGGAAGAAGGCCUUCGGGUUGUAAACCGCUUUCAGGAGGGACGAAGCCACUCAGGUUAAUAGCCGAGAGGGUGACGGUACCUCCAGAAGAAGCCCCGGCUAACUACGUGCCAGCAGCCGCGGUAAUACGUAGGGGGCUAGCGUUGUCCGGAUUUAUUGGGCGUAAAGAGCGUGUAGGCGGCCAAGUAAGUCCGGUGUGAAAACUCGAGGCUUAACCUCGAGAUGUCAUCGGAAACUAUUUGGCUAGAGUCCGGAAGAGGAGAGUGGAAUUCCUGGUGUAGCGGUGAAAUGCGCAGAUAUCAGGAAGAACACCCAUGGCGAAAGCAGCUCUCUGGGACGGUACUGACGCUGAGACGCGAAAGCGUGGGGAGCGAACAGGAUUAGAUACCCUGGUAGUCCACGCCGUAAACGAUGGGUGCUAGGUGUGGGCGGUGUCGACUCCGUCCGUGCCGAAGCUAACGCAUUAAGCACCCCGCCUGGGGAGUACGGCCGCAAGGCUAAAACUCAAAGGAAUUGACGGGGCCCGCACAAGCAGCGGAGCAUGUGGUUUAAUUCGACGCAACGCGAAGAACCUUACAAGGCUUGAACAUGCCAC
RNAcentral lists this ribosomal RNA (997 nucleotides) under uncultured bacterium. RNAcentral describes it as "bacterial SSU rRNA". It matches the Rfam family "Bacterial small subunit ribosomal RNA", at positions 8 to 992 of the family's 1533-position model. The record is from RNAcentral.